This 85-nucleotide transfer RNA is filed under the name Rickettsiales bacterium. RNAcentral's name for it is "tRNA-Leu". It matches the Rfam family "tRNA". From Rfam's summary of the family: Transfer RNA (tRNA) molecules are approximately 80 nucleotides in length. Their secondary structure includes four short double-helical elements and three loops (D, anti-codon, and T loops). Further hydrogen bonds mediate the characteristic L-shaped molecular structure. tRNAs have two regions of fundamental functional importance: the anti-codon, which is responsible for specific mRNA codon recognition, and the 3' end, to which the tRNAs corresponding amino acid is attached (by aminoacyl-tRNA synthetases). tRNAs cope with the degeneracy of the genetic code in two manners: having more than one tRNA (with a specific anti-codon) for a particular amino acid; and 'wobble' base-pairing, i.e. permitting non-standard base-pairing at the 3rd anti-codon position. The record is from RNAcentral. Lineage: Bacteria; Pseudomonadati; Pseudomonadota; Alphaproteobacteria; Rickettsiales.
GGGACCAUGGCGAAAUUGGUAGACGCGCUACCUUGAGGUGGUAGUGGAGCAAUCCAUAGGAGUUCGAGUCUCCUUGGUCCCACCA